CCCCAGUAAUACCAUGUUCACCUUACAAGUUAGCAAGAAGCAGAGAAGUGCAGAGACACCAUCGUGCACAACUACAUUUUGGCUAGGCGCAGAACAAAGUUAUCACUGAAAAGUGGUCCGGUUCUGAUUGCGAUUGACGGAUGAUAUUAUAUAUGUGCCAAAGAGGGGUCGGCUGUGCAACCAGGUUUCUUUUCAGUUUGGCAAAAUCACCAGAAUUGGAUCACUGCAAAUGACCAAAAUAGACGAGUUGGCAGGAUCAUUGGCCACUUUGCCGACUCCAAGUCCCGAGUUCCUGAAGAUCUUGUUUCCUGAUUCUGAAACUGUGUUCCUGAUCCGGUAACCCUUUACCUGUUCCUGUCCUGUCCCUGUUCCCUCUGGUUCUGACUCCCUGGUAUGACCUUGGUUUGUUUCUUGGCUCCGCAAGUUCUCUGCCUGUCCUAACCUUUGGCCUUGACUUAUUUUACUGCCUACCCUCAAUUGUACUCAUCUCUAUCUGGGAAAUCCUUAAACAUGUUUCCUACACUAUGUGAGAUCUGCAUGGGAAUUGGACAAUCCCUCUCAAUCAUACAAAAUGGAACAGGCAGAAUAAAUGGAUCUCAGAGAACCCCAAGUGAUGAUUCGUAUCACCUUCAGAAGUAUCAAGAUGAAAAAGAAUAAAAUAUGAUAUCAGGAGAAUUAUUGUUAAAGAAUUCAAGAAGGCAGAGGACAUUAAAAACACAGGGACAGAACCUUGAAACAUAUGAAACAUAUACAGGUUGACUAGAGGGUUAAUAUUUUACCAACUGUCACUUUUAUUGUAUCUAAUUAGGUAUGAACAUACCAUUCAACCUAUAACAAUCAGCCUAAACCACUAUCACAGUUUCUCAGUUUAAAACUCAAUAGAUGUAUAACAGAGCCAAAUAGGUUGUAAAUAAUAUAAUGCAUGAAAAGUACAAACCAAUAGAAGUCUUAAGUGCAUAUAGAAUUAUACCAGAGGCUCUAAGCAAACUGCUAGAGUAUAGGUAUAAAUGAAACUAAAGUGAGCAUGUACAGAGAAAGAGAAAAAAAGGUAGAAAAGCAGAAAAUAUGGUUGAAUACCCCAUCUCAAAUAAAUAUGACCAUGGCCUGCUUCUACAAAACAUAGCAGCCAAUUAGCUGAAAAAUAAAUACUUUGUGGAAGUGAAGAUGUUAUAGAGAUGACCUAAUAUAGCAACUAUAUGACUUGUGAAAGGAAUUCACUAAGCAAUGCUUGGUGACAGGCAAUUAUAUCAUCCUCUUUGUAUGGGAAAUUUAACAUAUUUACAACACUAAUUGAAUUUCAUUCCAACACUGGUGCAUUUUAUGCAUUUUUUGACGUUGUUAGCUGUACGUAUAUUUGAUUUGCCUUAAAGCUUUCCUCCGAUUUUUACCUGGAGACUAAGAUUCUCUCUCUUCCUGUCUUCCUGAUUGAAAUCAUUACACUGUUCUCAAACACUUUGUGAUUAGUGUCUUUUUAUUGUGGGUAAAAGUCUUAUGCCACAGUUGAGCAACAGGGUCUUUCAUUUAUCUGAAACAAUCAAAUAGGCAAUUUAUUCUGAUUGUUUGGUAAUGUGUGAAAAAGAAAUAAAUGGUUCUGUGGAAGCCUUAAGAAUUCACACAUUCACAGAAAAAAAAAGCUGUCAGUUGCAUCUGUGACAGGCAAUUGCCAAGAGAACUCUUUUCCCUUACAGAAAGUUAUGAAACUGUGAACAAAUCACAGUAUUUCUUACAAGUGACAUGAAGUGUAGCUGAACUGUGCUUUCGAGGCUCUAUGCACAAUUUGCAGCGCACAUUACUCCUUUCACCCAGUCUAUAUUGUCUCACUGUCUUUCAGUAGAGGGAAGUUACAUUUCUGGAUUCUGGCUUUUGCUGUUAUUUAUUUUUUUUCUUCCAACAAUUGACUCAUUCUGUCGCCUCUCUGUCUAUGUAUCUCUAAGUGGGUUUGCCUAGUAACAGCAGUAAAAAGUACUCAAUAUUGAUUGCCACUGAUGAAUUACAAUCUCACAACAAGUCAUAAUGCGCAGUUUGCAAAUGUGGGAAUGUGGGAGGUUGUUUGAUAUAAUGAACCGUAAUUGCUGGUGCAAAUGGACGUAAGCAACAGCUCAGGAGAAUGUUUUGCAAUGCAUUGGCUUUUGUACAUUACAGACUACAAUCUACAUCAAGAAGAACAACGCUAUUUGCGAGAAAAUUUUAACACUCUGGGGUCUUCUAAUCAGCAUGAUCUAAUCAGACAAGACAAAAGCUCAUGCCGCUAUGAAAAGACGUAUUCACUAGCUGGAUACACAUAACAGUCAUGACAAUGUAUCAUAAAUCUGCUAAAAAAAAAAUAAAGAU
Molecule: long non-coding RNA, 2331 nt
Organism: Xenopus laevis (African clawed frog)
Lineage: Eukaryota; Metazoa; Chordata; Amphibia; Anura; Pipidae
Exons: 3
Source: RefSeq, a predicted model, not a curated record